Molecule: ribosomal RNA, 669 nt
Filed under: Streptomyces sp. NWU339
Lineage: Bacteria; Bacillati; Actinomycetota; Actinomycetes; Kitasatosporales; Streptomycetaceae
Description: bacterial LSU rRNA
Rfam family: Bacterial large subunit ribosomal RNA
Source: RNAcentral
GGGUAGUUUAACUGGGGCGGUUGCCUCCUAAAGGGUAACGGAGGCGCCCAAAGGUUCCCUCAGCCUGGUUGGCAAUCAGGUGGUGAGUGUAAGUGCACAAGGGAGCUUGACUGUGAGACCGACGGGUCGAGCAGGGACGAAAGUCGGGACUAGUGAUCCGGCGGUGGCUUGUGGAAGCGCCGUCGCUCAACGGAUAAAAGGUACCCCGGGGAUAACAGGCUGAUCUUCCCCAAGAGUCCAUAUCGACGGGAUGGUUUGGCACCUCGAUGUCGGCUCGUCGCAUCCUGGGGCUGGAGUCGGUCCCAAGGGUUGGGCUGUUCGCCCAUUAAAGCGGUACGCGAGCUGGGUUUAGAACGUCGUGAGACAGUUCGGUCCCUAUCCGCUGCGCGCGCAGGAGUCUUGAGAAGGGCUGUCCCUAGUACGAGAGGACCGGGACGGACGAACCUCUGGUGUGCCAGUUGUCCUGCCAAGGGCAUGGCUGGUUGGCUACGUUCGGGAGGGAUAACCGCUGAAAGCAUCUAAGCGGGAAGCCUGCUUCGAGAUGAGGACUCCCACCCACUUGAUGGGGUAAGGCUCCCAGCAGACGACUGGGUUGAUAGGCCGGGUCUGGAAGCACCGCAAGGUGUGGAGGUGACCGGUACUAAUAGGCCGAGGGCUUGUCCUCAGUUG